GUGUGUCACUGUCCAUGGAAGAGUGCUCAAGCGCUACUCAGCUAAGAAAAUGAUGGACUGAGACCAGCCGCGUACACAUUGCUGCAAAGGGCUCUCUUAUUAAGAUGUGGGCAUGAAAUGAGCCCAAGGGAUAUUCAUUGUCAAACGUGCAUUAGUGCCUUGUUUCUUUUGAUCAUUUAUAUUUGACAAAAUCCAAUAGCAUAUCUAUGGAAGGGCAUUAAAACUGCUUCCAGAUUUGUGAUUCAGUGAUGGGUGAGCUCUGACGAGGUUGCUGAACAGGAUUCUCAACAGGUUGAAACGUAAGAGUGGAAGAGCAACUGUAUUGAAAUUCUUAAUGGGGCUUUUACACUUGUAUAUUUCAUUACAGGUGGGAAAACUGGAAAGAUUGAAUGUCCUUUGGAGUUCACAGAGGUUUGGCAGUGGGAGGAGAAAAACAAAACGAAGCAUAGUGGGAGUGUUGAACCGACUUUCCCAAGAUCCCCAGGAAAAGCAAAGCUACUAUAAGAACUCACUACAUCAACGCGUAUUCAUUAUUGAGACCAUCCUAGGAGAGCUGCAUCAUCACAGGCUGCUCUGAGGUCUGUGCCCAAUCAAGCAAAGAACAACGGAGAUAAUCACACUGUGCAGAGGGUGACCAAUUUAGAAAAAAAGGACUCUUAAGAAGAUCGUCCAACUUCCUUAAAUGACUUUCAUUAAUUUUACACCUUUUGCCAAUUAAUUGCACUUAUGAGCCUUGCUUGUCAAUUACUGCAUUCUCACUUUCAGCAACUGAACUAAUCUUUGCCUAUUCAUAUUUUGUUUUUUAAAUAGGUAUUUCCAAUUAUUGAUAUAAAUCUUUAUGAUUACAUUACAAAUGUCUGACCAUAUUUAUUCAUUCUUCAUAGAGACAAAAUAAAGGUUCUAUUAUCUACACUUAAAACAUGUUGUACUUUUUUCUUUACAGCACAACUUACAAUAUUGUCCUUAUUUGGUGAUUAUUUUAAAACAAACAUAUUCCAUUUAAAAUACAAGCUCAAGAACUACAGAUACAUUUAUGUUUGUAUGUGUAUAUAUAUAUAUAUACACACACACACACACACACGUAUUUUUCUUAUUCUGUUUUCAGUGUCUGCCUGCAUACAUGUUAUACAGAAAAAGUUAAAUUAGUAUUUGAUCAAUAGUGAGUUUAAUGUACCUUCAUUUUUCACCUGCUGCAUAUACUUAAUAUGCUGUUAGUUUACAAAUAUGAGUAAGACCAGGAUAAAGGUAUCAAGAAACUCAGAGCCUGUAUUUCAAUGCGGCUAGUGCAAUCAUUGAUUUAUUUACUGAGUGUUAUGAUCACACAGAAGCGGCACUAACCCUACUUUUUAUUACAGUGAACUGCCUUCUGAAAGUGGCUCACUUAAAGAACAUAGCUGGAGGUAUUACAUUAUCUGAUUACAAGCUAUACUACAAAGCUAUAGUAAUUAAAACAGCAUGGGAUUGGCAAAAAAUGUAUGUAAACCAAUGGAAUAGAAAGACCAGAAAUUAACCCAUACCUAUAGACAAAUGAUUUUCUAUAAAGGUGCCAAGAAUACACAAUGGAAAAAAUACAGUCUCUUCGAUAAAUGGUGUUGGGAAAACUGCAUUUCCACAUGCAGAAGAAUAAAACUGGACCUACUCUCACACUAUACACAAAAACUGCCCAAAAUGGAAUAAGGAUUUAAACAUAAAAUCAGAAACUCUUCAACUACUAGAAGAAAACAGAGGGGGAAAACUACACGACAUUGGUCUGGGCAAUGAUUUUUUUGGAUUUGACUCCAAAAGCACAGGCAGCAAGUCCAAAGGUAGACAAACGGGAUUAAAUCAGACUAGAAAGCUUCUGUAUAUCAAAGAAAACAAUUAACACUUUGCAAAGGCAACCUAAGGGUUGGGAGAAAAUAUUAGCAAUCACAUAUCUGAUAAAGAGUUAUAACCAAAGUAUAUAAGGAGCUCCAAGAACUCAAUAGCAGAAAAUAAAACAAAAAAUUAAAAAAUGGGCACGAAACCUGACUAGACAGUUAUCAAAAGAAGACACGCAAAUGGCAAGCAGAUGCAUGGAAAAAUGUUCAACAUGGCUAAUCAUUCAAAAAAUGCAAAUUAAAACCACAAGGAGAUAUCAUCUCACACCUGUCUUAAUGGUUUCAUUGAAGAGCUGAAUGAUAACACGUGGUUGACAAAGCUGUGCAGAAAAGGGAACACUUGCACACUGUUGGUGGAAAAUGUAAAUUAGCACAAUCAUUAUGUGAGUAAUAUGGAGAUUCCUCAAAAAACUAAAAAUAGAAUUACCAUAUGAUCCAGCAAUCCCACUUCUGAGUAUUUGCCCAAAAGAUUUUGAAUCAGUUUGUCAAAGAGAUAUCUGUACUCCCAUGUUCACUGCUGUACUAGUCACAAUAGCCAAAUUAUGGAAUCAACAUAAAUGUCUAUCAGUCAAUGAAUGGAUAAAGAAUGGAUAACUGAAAUACUAUACAGCCUUAAAAAAAAAAGACAAUUCUGUCAUUUGGGGCAACAUGAAUGGAAUUGGAGAACAUUAUGCUAACUAAGUAAAAUAAGUCAGGUACAGAAAGACAAAUACUAUAUGUUCUCACUUAUCUAUGGAAUCUAAAAUAGUUGAACUCAUAGAAGCAGAGUUUGGAGUGGUGGUCACAGAGGCUGAGGGGCAGGGAAAAUGAGGAAAUGUUGGCCACAAGGUACAGAAUCCCAAUUAGACAGGAAGAAUAUCUUUUCCUCCUUUUUGAGUUCUACUGCAUAAUGUGGUGAAUAUAGUUAAAAAUACAAGCUGGGAGCAGUGGCUCAUGCCCGUAAUCCCAGCACUUUGGGAGGCUGAGGCAGGUGGAUCACCUGAGGUCAGGAGUUUGAGACCAGCCUGGCCAAUAUGGUGAAACCCCUUCUCUACUAAAAAUACAAAAAUUAGCCGGAUGUGGUGGCGUGAGCCUGUACAGCUAUUCCGGAGGCUGAGGCAGGAGAAUCUGGGACUUGAACCUGUGAGGUGGAGGUUGCAGUGAGCUGAGAUCGCACCACUGCACUUCAGCCUGGGUGACAGAGCAAGAGUCUGUCUCAAAAAACAUAAAAAAUAAAAUAGAGUACUGUGCAUUUCAUAAGUAAUUUCAAAUGUCCUCACUAGAAAAAAUUUUAAACAUUUGAGGUGACAGAUAAGGUAACUAGCUUGAUUUAAUUAUUCCACAUCGUAUUUUUGUACCCCAUAAAUUUUAGACAGUAAUAAAUUGUCCAUUUAUAAUAAAAAUAAAUAAAUAAUGUUACAACCAGUUAAUAAUUACCAAAUGAAUACCAGAGAAGUAUGUUGUCUUUAAAUGAUGUCUCUUCCCAAAAUGUUCCCAUUUGCAACCGAAAUAACAAAAUACAAGAGUUACUGGAAACAAAAAUUCGUGUGACUCUUUUUGUGUGCAUUUGUAGAGUGCACCACCAUGACAUGGAACCAUAGAAUAGUAAUGAAUUAUGGUUUUAAUAAGAACACAUGAUAAGACAACUAGGAGGGUAGCAAAAUAAAAGUUCCUGAGAGCUCCAUCCUCUAAUGUCCUAUUAAAUGUACCAAAAAGCUUCUGGGAAGGUGAAAAUCCCUGACAGGACGCAGAACUAAUGGCAACAACUGAGCAUGUUCCUAAAAUCAUGGGGUGUUCUGCACCAAUGGGAUUUGCUCCAAUACAUGACCAAGAGCAGAUCUAAAAUUUUUCACUUAUCAAAAACUGAACCUUGGUCAUAGGUGGAUCUGGAGAAUGCUCUGCCCCAUAUCCACUGACAUUAUUAGGAUUUGGUCAGUCAUGUGAUGUUGAUAGCGUGGUUUCACCUGGGUAACUCCAUCCUGAGACAGACUAUUGGGGAUGGAAUUAUCACAGGUGUCAAUCACAUUAAAAAUGUGAUUUGGCCAUAAAUAUGAGACAAACCUGGCUAUCUUACAGCCCUAACUUUAUCUUGAUUGUGGAACAAACCACAGGCAGAAUAUGUGACUCAUGGCAGCAAAUUUAAAAAAUAUUUUCUUCAAUUAAACAUGCACCUCAAACGUGUAUCAUUUCUUUGUGUUGGGAACAUUCAAUAUCCUCCUUCAGCCUAUUUUAAACUGUACAAUAUAUUGUCAUCAACUAUAUUCAUUCUACAGUGAUACAGAAAACUAGAAUGUAUUCCUCCUAUCAAUCUGUAACUUUGUGUCCUUUAACAAAUGCUAAUUACCCUAAUCUGAUCACUACACAUGAUAUAUAUCAAAACAUCACUAUAGAGUCCAUAAAUAUUUAUAAUUAUUGUGCGUCAACCUUAAAAAUGGUUAAAAUGGUAAAGAUAGAUAAAUACAUAAGUGUGCAUCUCAAAUAGAUUAUCUUCUGAUGGACUACCUUAUUUAUUUUAAUUAAGAAAAAUAAAAACACUAAACAUCCCGAAGUCUACAAUACAAAGUAAACAGAUGGGGGCAGGUAGAGUAAUUUUUUCAAAAGUGUGGCAGCUGCCACAAGAGAAGAUAUAUAGAUCAAUGGUAUAGAAUAAAGAGCUUAGAAAUAAACCUCCACAUAAUAUGCUCAAAAGAUUUUCAACAAGGAUGCCAAGACUAUUAAGUAGGGAAAAGGACAGUCUUCAACAAAUAAUGUUUGGAAACUGAAUUAGCCACAUGCAAAGAAAUGAAGUUGUACCCCUCCCUUGCACCAUGUACAAAAAUUAACUCAAAAUAGAUAAAAGACCUAAAUGUAAGAUCUAAAACUAUAGAACUCUUACUUGAGACCAGCCUGGCCAACACGGUGAAACCCUGCCUCUACUAAAAAUACAAGAAUUAGCUGGGCAAGGUGGUGCACGCCUGUAAUCCUAGCUACUCAGGAGGCUGAGGCAGGAAAAUUGCCUGAACCUGGGAGGCAGUGGUUCCAGUGAGCUGAGAUUGCGCCACUGCACUCCAGCCUGGGUGACAGAGUGAGACUCUGUCUCAAAAAAAUAAAUAAAUAUAAAUAAAUCAAUAAAACUAUAGAACUCUUAGAAUGAAACAUAUAUAAAAAUAUUAAAAACAUUAAAUUUGUCAGUAAUUUCUUGAAUGUGAUACCAAAAGCAGAGGCAACAAAAGAUCAAAUAGAUAAAAUGGACUUAAUGAAAAUUAAAAACUUGCGAAUCAAAAGAAACUGUGAAGAGAGUAAAAAAGUAACCCACAUGUUGGGAGAAGACAUUUGCAAGUCAUAUAACUGAUAAAGGAUUAAUAUCCAGAAUACAUAAAGAACUCCUAAAACCCUACAACAAUGAAACAACCGAAUUCAAAAAUGGUCAAAGACUCAAAUAGACGUUUCUCCAAUAAAGAUGUACAAACGGACAAUAAGCAUAUGAAAAGAUAUGCAACAUCAGGAAUUACUAAUUAAAUGCAAACUAAUAUCAUAAUGAGACCACUUUAUACCCAUUGGCAUAGCCAAAAAAAAAAACAAAAUAAUAAAUGUU
Molecule: long non-coding RNA, 5412 nt
Organism: Macaca mulatta (Rhesus monkey)
Lineage: Eukaryota; Metazoa; Chordata; Mammalia; Primates; Cercopithecidae
Source: Ensembl